Molecule: long non-coding RNA, 523 nt
Filed under: Elaeis guineensis (African oil palm)
Lineage: Eukaryota; Viridiplantae; Streptophyta; Magnoliopsida; Arecales; Arecaceae
Description: long non-coding RNA (EGUI_LNC041658)
Source: RNAcentral
UGUCAUCACUAUAUAAUCAUGAUUAUCUUUAUAACUAUCUGAUGAUUUGACUCUAAUCAAGGUGGGUCAUUAUCUUUUAUGAAAUCAAAAGCUUUACCAUAGUAUUUAUGUCAAAUUCAAUUCAAACUCGAAUCCAAAUAUGAUUAAUUUUAAUAAUUGAUCUUACUAUGAGGUUUUUACAUCUAAUCAACCCCAAUCCAAUCUUGAAUAGACAUGCAUUUAUAUCACGAUGAUGAUUUCGAUCUUAGACUCUUGAUCACUUAUUUAGUGCUAAUCUUGUUAGUCUAUAUCUUAAUCAUGAAUGUGAUGGAAGGCUUUUUAUAAUUAAUCCAAAUAGGAUAAUCAUUGAUUUUAAUCAAGAAAAGACAAGAUCUUGAAUUAUAUAUUAUUUAAAAGGUAAAAUUCUUGAGUUGGGUCAGAAGUUUUGAGUUGUAAAGCAUUCUUGGGAAGUAUCUAUGCUUCAAUAUAGAAAUAUAUAUGUUCAUUAUUUUUGAUCUGAGUGAUUGGGUUACUUGCAGGCAUU